GCAGGAAUCAAAUCUCACGAGGGAACAUUCGAAGGCGAGCGACUCUCUCCUAAGAAAUGUAAUCGACGGUGGUUGAUGAUUGGUGAUCGGCAAUCGACAAUGGCUGAUGUUGGCAAUCGACGACCGACAAGCAUCAUCUCCCCUUCGAUGACAUAUCUUAUGCUUAGAAGGGGAGGAGGAACAUGACAUCUCUUACUCCAGGGGUACUAAUAGAGGUUCUGAAGAACUUAACUACUGACAUAAAAAUAUGUAGAGAAUACUGGUCAGUGCUUCUUCAAGUAAUCAACAUUGUGCCUGCUUUGUCUGGCUCAGAGCUUUAGCCAGACCAUGGUUUCUUCAUAAAGAUCUCUGAUCAUUCACAUUCCACAUAUGUUUCAUUAUCUAAAGAUGACAAUGACUUGAGCUUAAUGAACAAGCUUUAGCUUUUGGGCAAUUCAUCUAUAUUUACAAGGAAGAGUUGUGGAUGCCAUCCCAUGGGACUCUCCUCCUGCCAGCCUAAUCAACCCUGGGAAGCUUCUUGGCUAUCUAAUCUAAGACAACUUUUUGGCCAAGAGCAAGCAGUAUAAGAAGAAGAUGAGAAAGGGAAGAAAGCCUCGAUGAUCCUUCUCCAACAACAACUGAGAUCAACAAGUAAGGAUUACUCUACUUUCAACCAACUUAUGAUAGAAUUCUACAACACAGAACCAUCAUAAAAUCAACAACUUUAUCGUCCAACUUCAUCUUUGUCAGAAUCAACUCCUGCCCUUAGCAAAGAAGGGUGUUGUUAGGAUUGGUGAGAGGAGAAAAAAUAAAGAACCAACAACAAGCGUUUUGUUGUGAUCUGUUCAUAUUUCUGGUGCCAGAACUUCUGAGCGAUUAUCGCUCGAGAUUUUUUUUGUUUUAAUUCUCUAUUUUAAGUACUUUAAAUUCAUGAUAUGAGUGGAUUAAUUCUCCUUU
This is a long non-coding RNA of Musa acuminata AAA Group (dessert banana), 936 nucleotides long. RefSeq lists it as uncharacterized. The transcript has 3 exons. The record is from RefSeq and is a predicted model, not a curated record. NCBI's taxonomy places the organism in Eukaryota, Viridiplantae, Streptophyta, Magnoliopsida, Zingiberales, Musaceae.